CAGCACCUCAAGUGGUCAGGAUGAUUAUUGGGCCUAAAGCAUCCGUAGCCGGCGCUGUAAGUUUUCGGUUAAAUCUGUACGCUCAACGUACAGGCUGCCGGGAAUACUGCAGCGCUAGGGAGUGGGAGAGGUAGACGGUACUCGGUAGGAAGGGGUAAAAUCCUUUGAUCUAUUGAUGACCACCUGUGGCGAAGGCGGUCUACCAGAACACGUCCGACGGUGAGGGAUGAAAGCUGGGGCACAAACCGGAUUAGAUACCCGAGUAGUCC
RNAcentral lists this ribosomal RNA (269 nucleotides) under uncultured archaeon. RNAcentral describes it as "partial 16S ribosomal RNA". It matches the Rfam family "Archaeal small subunit ribosomal RNA", at positions 477 to 747 of the family's 1478-position model. The record is from RNAcentral.